Non-coding RNA from Podarcis lilfordi (Lilford's wall lizard), 71 nucleotides. The record is from the annotation of a GenBank genome assembly. NCBI's taxonomy places the organism in Eukaryota, Metazoa, Chordata, Lepidosauria, Squamata, Lacertidae.
GAAACUAGCUCACUUGGUAGAGCACAAGACUCUUAAUCUCAGGGACACGGGUUCAAUCCCCACAUUGAGCA